RNAcentral lists this microRNA precursor (124 nucleotides) under Leersia perrieri. RNAcentral describes it as "pre miRNA mir-156". Lineage: Eukaryota; Viridiplantae; Streptophyta; Magnoliopsida; Poales; Poaceae. The record is from RNAcentral.
CUGACAGAAGAGAGUGAGCACGCAGCGGGCUGACUGCCUCUGAAUACGCUGCAUCCACUGACGAGAGAGAGAGAGAGAUUGAUAGACGCAGCUGCCGUUGCGUGCUCACUUCUCUCUCUGUCAG